UGGAUUGAAGGGAGAGUGAUGUGUGAAAAUAUCCGACCCUGCAACAGUCGCAACACAUACUUGUGCAGCUUGCCAACUCCCAGCAAGCCAGAAUACGUGUGCUUGUUACCUCUGCUUUUACCGCAACCACACUCAAAUGCAGCCACACUCCAGUAGAUGUGAGGUGGUGCUUGACAUUCUAUCUGGAAAGGACUAAACCAUUUCGGCCAUCAUACUGGCUUUCUGUCUCUUAUGUGGUUCAGAUGAAAGAUCAGACAGUCUCUGCACAGACUAUUUCCAGUGUCUACAUGGGUUCCCUUCCAUCCAUCUCUCACUCCUGCAUCACAGUCUUAGAAGUUCCAACACCGAAAAGAACAAGGCCAGUGACAUUAGGAUGCUGAACUGCUGAUGGAAUGGACCAGCUUCUAACAUGAUUAUCCUUUACCCUGAGGUGCAAAAUAAUAAAGGAAAAAAUUGCUGACAAAAGCCAAUUUAUUUAAGUGUCACUUCUGGAUACAUAUUAAUGUCACUAGGACAAUAUU
Trachemys scripta elegans is the source of this 521-nucleotide long non-coding RNA. RefSeq lists it as uncharacterized. The transcript is spliced from 3 exons. The record is from RefSeq and is a predicted model, not a curated record. Lineage: Eukaryota; Metazoa; Chordata; Testudines; Emydidae.